AAUAUUAUUCAGUUUAUUUCUGGAGCCCAAGCAGGAAUCACCUCUGGACUUAAGCUCCAUAUUCUCAGUAAUUUUUCGGUUUACUAAAAAAAUUUAAUUUUUCCGGCUAGUUUUAAGAAUAAAGUGAAUUAUAUAAGCAUAUAACCAACACAGAACAACGACAAAGUUAGCGUUUAUUGACCUAGACAACGACACAGUCAGCGCUUGGUGGCCUGGACGUAUUUCACUCAACACAGUCUGGAUUGUCCAUAAUUCCUGGCUUACAAUAAUCUAAGACGGUUUUCUCUGAUGGCACAGUACUGGCAGUUACUUGAGAAGUUUAAUGAAUACAUAUCAAUCCUUGACUGGGAAUAUCUCACUGGAAUAAUAAAAUACCAAUGUUUAAAAAUAAUAUAUAUGUACACUUAUACUUUUAUUCAAAAUAAAAGUAAUAAAUACUAAAA
Long non-coding RNA from Drosophila elegans, 443 nucleotides. RefSeq lists it as uncharacterized. NCBI's taxonomy places the organism in Eukaryota, Metazoa, Arthropoda, Insecta, Diptera, Drosophilidae. The transcript is spliced from 2 exons. The record is from RefSeq and is a predicted model, not a curated record.